GAUGAACGCUAGCUAUAGGCUUAACACAUGCAAGUCGAGGGGAAACGGCAUUAUGUGCUUGCACAUUUUGGACGUCGACCGGCGCACGGGCGAGUAUCGCGUAUCCAACCUGCCCUUUACUUGGGGAUACCCCGUUGAAAGACGGCCCAAUACCCGAUGUAAUUCAUUGAUGGCAUCAGAUAUGAAUAAAAGAUUUAUCGGUAAAGGAUGGGGAUGCGUCUGAUUAGCUUGUUGGUGAGGUAACGGCUCACCAAGGCGACGAUCAGUAGGGGUUCUGAGAGGAAGGUCCCCCACAUUGGAACUGAGACACGGUCCAAACUCCUACGGGAGGCAGCAGUGAGGAAUAUUGGUCAAUGGGCGCAAGCCUGAACCAGCCAAGUAGCGUGCAGGAAGACGGCCCUAUGGGUUGUAAACUGCUUUUAUACGAGAAUAAUUUGAUGCACGUGUGCGUUAUUGCAUGUAUCGUAUGAAUAAGGACCGGCUAAUUCCGUG
This 492-nucleotide ribosomal RNA is filed under the name uncultured bacterium. RNAcentral's name for it is "partial 16S ribosomal RNA". It matches the Rfam family "Bacterial small subunit ribosomal RNA", at positions 28 to 507 of the family's 1533-position model. The record is from RNAcentral.